RNAcentral lists this long non-coding RNA (228 nucleotides) under Mytilus galloprovincialis (Mediterranean mussel). The record is from RNAcentral. Lineage: Eukaryota; Metazoa; Mollusca; Bivalvia; Mytilida; Mytilidae.
CCAUUCUUUAAUAACGCUGUGGGAUUCAUUUAUUUUGAAAAUACCACAUUUUGUGGGAUCAUACGAAAGUCUUUCAAAAUUUAUUUGUUGUUGAACAUUUCACUUAGUAGUUCAUCCAAUACCCUUGAAAUCCAUGAAAAGGUCAAAAUUGUUGACCUUGACCUUUGACACUGAUCUCAAUGUCAGAGUUAUCUAAUAGCAGUUUAGAGUCUUUCAAAUUUUAGAAAG